UAUGGCCAUAUUCCGUUGAAUGCACUGUUUCUCGUACGAUCACCGAAGAUAAGCAAUGUUGAGUCUGGUCAGUACUUAGAUGGGUGACCGCUUACGAAUACUAGGUGCU
This is a non-coding RNA of Acanthosepion pharaonis, 109 nucleotides long. Lineage: Eukaryota; Metazoa; Mollusca; Cephalopoda; Sepiida; Sepiidae. The record is from the annotation of a GenBank genome assembly.